Molecule: ribosomal RNA, 459 nt
Filed under: uncultured bacterium
Lineage: Bacteria
Description: bacterial SSU rRNA
Rfam family: Bacterial small subunit ribosomal RNA
Source: RNAcentral
UGGAGGCAGCAGUGGGGAAUAUUGGACAAUGGGGGCAACCCUGAUCCAGCAAUGCCGCGUGUGCGAUGAAGGCCUGCGGGUUGUAAAGCACUUUCGGUGGGGAAGAAAUGCUCAAAUAUAAUACAUUUGAGAGCUGACGUUACCCACAGAAGAAGCACCGGCAAACUCUGUGCCAGCAGCCGCGGUAAUACAGAGGGUGCAAGCGUUAGUCGGAGUUACUGGGCGUAAAGGGCGUGUAGGCUGAUUUCUUAGUCGGUUGUGAAAUCCCCGGGCUUAACCUGGGAAUUGCAGUCGAUACUGGAUUUCUUGAGUAUGGUAGAGGAAAGUGGAAUUCUCGGUGUAGUGGUUAAAUACGUAGAUAUCGAGAAGAACACCGGUGGCGAAGGCGGCUUUCUGGACCAAUACUGACGCUGAGGCGCGAGAGCGUGGGGAGCAAACAGGAUUAGAUACCCCGGUAGC